GUUUAGGAAGGGGAGAACACUCAUAGCCUUACUCUACGAGAUCUCAUGUGGAUGGAUGUUACUCAGAGAACGCUGCAUUUUUGGAACACUGUCUGGAAAGGUUUUCGGACUUAACUGGAUUAUAGUUUGGGACUAAAUUGUUUGUUUAUGGAAUUUGUCUAUUUCGUAGACCGCAUCCUGAACGCUAUUGUCAGGAAUGCUUUCUCUGAUCUUUUUUUUUUAACUAAAAGAUUAUGGAUUGGGUCAAUUUUGUGCAUUCUGAGUCAAGAUGUGGUAGAGGACAUUCAUAUUUUCUGUUGACCUUUAAAGGACACAAUACUUGUGGACUAAUGGCAAGGUCCAAAUGUGACUCCAGGAUGUGCUGAUAACGAAGUCUCCUGUAUAAGACCAUCUGUAAAAAAAAAAAAUUAAAUAAUUUGUUUCCAGAUACAUUUUUUAAGGAGACGUAUUGUCAUGCAGCCCCUUGAGGAAAUAACAUUGAGUAAAGUUAAGAAAA
Hippocampus zosterae (dwarf seahorse) is the source of this 496-nucleotide long non-coding RNA. RefSeq lists it as uncharacterized. The transcript has 2 exons. NCBI's taxonomy places the organism in Eukaryota, Metazoa, Chordata, Actinopteri, Syngnathiformes, Syngnathidae. The record is from RefSeq and is a predicted model, not a curated record.